AGAGUUUGAUCAUGGCUCAGGACGAACGCUGGCGGCGUGCCUAAUACAUGCAAGUCGAACGAGAAUUUCUUACACCGAGUGCUUGCACUCACCGUAAGAAAUUCGAGUGGCGGACGGGUGAGUAACACGUGGGUAACCUGCCCAAAAGAAGGGGAUAACAUUUGGAAACAAAUGCUAAUACCGUAUAACCAUGAUGACCGCAUGGUCAUUAUGUAAAAGGUGGUUCUGCUAUCGCUUUUGGAUGGACCCGCGGCGUAUUAACUAGUUGGUAGGGUAACGGCCUACCAAGGUGAUGAUACGUAGCCGAGUUGAGAGACUGAUCGGCCACAAUGGGACUGAGACACGGCCCAUACUCCUACGGGAGGCAGCAGUAGGGAAUCUUCCACAAUGGGCGCAAGCCUGAUGGAGCAACGCCGCGUGAAUGAAGAAGGUCUUCGGAUCGUAAAAUUCUGUUGUUAGAGAAGAAUAUGAGUAAUAGUAACUGAUUAUUCACUGACGGUAUCUAACCAGCAAGUCACGGCUAACUACGUGCCAGCAGCCGCAGUAAUACGUAGGUGGCAAGCGUUGUCCGGAUUUAUUGGGCGUAAAGGGAACGCAGGCGGUUUUUUAAGUCUGAUGUGAGAGCCUUCGGCUUAACCGGAGAUGUGCAUUGGAAACUGGAAGACUUGAGUGCAGAAGAGGAGAGUGGAACUCCAUGUGUAGCGGUGAAAUGCGUAGAUAUAUGGAAGAACACCAGUGGCGAAAGCGGCUCUCUGGUCUGUAACUGACGCUGAGGUUCGAAAGCAUGGGUAGCGAACAGGAUUAGAUACCCUGGUAGUCC
Molecule: ribosomal RNA, 820 nt
Filed under: uncultured bacterium
Lineage: Bacteria
Description: bacterial SSU rRNA
Rfam family: Bacterial small subunit ribosomal RNA
Source: RNAcentral